RNAcentral lists this unclassified non-coding RNA (520 nucleotides) under uncultured Glomus. Its description in RNAcentral is "SSU rRNA". It matches the Rfam family "Eukaryotic small subunit ribosomal RNA", at positions 569 to 1089 of the family's 1831-position model. The record is from RNAcentral. Lineage: Eukaryota; Fungi; Glomeromycota; Glomeromycetes; Glomerales; Glomeraceae.
AGCAGCCGCGGUAAUUCCAGCUCCAAUAGCGUAUAUUAAAGUUGUUGCAGUUAAAAAGCUCGUAGUUGAAUUUCGGGAUCAAUACGUCGGUCGUGCUUCGGUACGUACUGGCGUAAUUGAUUUCUCCCUUCUGACGAACCAUGAUGUCAUUAACUUGGUGUCAUGGGAAAUCAGGACUGUUACUUUGAAAAAAUUAGAGUGUUUAAAGCAGGCUCACGCUUGAAUACAUUAGCAUGGAAUAAUGAAAUAGGACGUUCGAUCCUAUUUUGUUGGUUUUUAGGAUCAACGUAAUGAUUAAUAGGGAUAGUUGGGGGCAUUAGUAUUCAAUUGUCAGAGGUGAAAUUCUUGGAUUUAUUGAAGACUAACUACUGCGAAAGCAUUUGCCAAGGAUGUUUUCAUUAAUCAAGAACGAAAGUUAGGGGAUCGAAGACGAUCAGAUACCGUCGUAGUCUUAACCAUAAACUAUGCCGACUAGGGAUCGGAUGAUGUUAAUUUUUUUCAAUGACUCAUUCGGCGCCUU